CAUUAUUGAAUUAAUAAAAGUGGGCUUUGAAUUGGAGGCUGAUGCUGAUGGUCAAACAUAUGUGCUCGCCGUCAUGAAGAGUUCGCUUUUUAUUAACCUUUCCACCUGUGCACUUUUGUAGAUGUUGAAGGUCAUCCUUCAAGCAGCAAUGCUUGGUUUGGAGUUUGCGGGCUUCAUUCAGUUGAAGUCGGCUCUCUCUGUCGAUCUUCAAUGUCUAUUUUACAUAUACCCUUGAUAAAAGUUAAAGAAGGACAUGAUUGGGCUUUAUGCCUAUAAAUCUAUAAUACAACUUUCAGCAACGGAUCUCUUGGCUCUCGCAUCGAUGAAGAACGCAGCGAAUUGCGAUAAGUAAUGUGAAUUGCAGAAUUCAGUGAAUCAUCGAAUCUUUGAACGCACCUUGCGCUCUUUGGUAUUCCGAAGAGCAUGCCUGUUUGAGUGUCAUUAAAUUCUCAACCCACUUCAUUUGUUUAUCAAGUAAAGUGCGUGUUGGAUGUGGGGGUUGCGGGCUUCAUUCAGUUGAAGUCGGCUCCUCUGAAAUGCAUUAGCGGGAAUCUUUGUUGGACCGCUUCUAUUGGGUGUGAUAAUUAUCUACGCCUAGGAAGUAGUUCAGCACUUGGGUUUGGCAACAAACCGGGGUUCUGCUUCUAAUGGUCCAUUUACUUGGACAAUACUCUUUGACAUUUGACCUCAAAUCAGGUAGGACUACCC
RNAcentral lists this small RNA (708 nucleotides) under Cyathus striatus. Its description in RNAcentral is "eukaryotic LSU rRNA". The stretch from base 288 to 441 matches the Rfam family "5.8S ribosomal RNA". The record is from RNAcentral. Lineage: Eukaryota; Fungi; Basidiomycota; Agaricomycetes; Agaricales; Nidulariaceae.